CUUUCAUGUCUUAUGUAGUAUCUUCAGAUUACGAAAGAAGACUUCAGUCUCUUGAAGCUAAACUUAAAAAUGAAGUUUCUACUUCUGCGAAUAAAAUUUCAGAACUUCUCAAAAGGAAUGAUCAACUGGAUGAGAAGGAGAAGAAACAACUUGGGGAUAUUGAAGAACUGAAGAAACAACUUGAGGAGUCCAAAAGACUAUCAGACGAAUUGAGUGCGAAGUUCACUGCUCGUGAUUCCAAAUAUCGAAAGCUUAAGAAGAAUUAUAUUACAACUGUCUCAAACAAUAGCAAGGAUGCUCUUCACGCUCGUGAUGCAGCAAUUAAGAUAGUCUGCGAAGACAAUAAUAUUCCUCUUGUGAAGUAUGAAUAUUAUUUUUACAAGAACAUCAUCAUUUAGAGGAACAUCACCAAAUUCAUACUUCACAAGAAAUGUUGUAUUGCAGAAGCUUUAUGGUAGUUAUGAGGAGAAAUACAACAAAAUUCCCGCAUUCUGUGAAAUGGUGAAGGAAAAUAUGCCUGGCAGUGUAGCUACUUUCUCAUAUGGAAGCACAAAUGGUGUGGUUGGAAAACACACAAAAACUCUUGCAAGUAUACAAGGCCAAGUUUUAGUAUAGAAAGUAAGCAAGGGAUCAUUCCAC
Molecule: long non-coding RNA, 639 nt
Organism: Papaver somniferum (opium poppy)
Lineage: Eukaryota; Viridiplantae; Streptophyta; Magnoliopsida; Ranunculales; Papaveraceae
Exons: 3
Source: RefSeq, a predicted model, not a curated record